This 235-nucleotide ribosomal RNA is filed under the name uncultured bacterium. RNAcentral's name for it is "partial 16S ribosomal RNA". It matches the Rfam family "Bacterial small subunit ribosomal RNA", at positions 96 to 334 of the family's 1533-position model. The record is from RNAcentral.
UGGCGGACGGGUGAGUAAUGUCUGGGAAACUGCCCGAUGGAGGGGGGUAACUACUGGAAACGGUAGCUAAUACCGCAUAACGUCGCAAGACCAAAGAGGGGGACCUUCGGGCCUCGCGCCAUCAGAUGAACCCAUAUGGGAUUAGCUUGUAGGUAAGGUAACGGCUUACCUAGGCGACGAUCCCUAGCUGGUCUGAGAGGAUGAUCAGCCACACUGGGACUGAGACACGGCCCAG